Molecule: long non-coding RNA, 251 nt
Filed under: Lathyrus oleraceus (garden pea)
Lineage: Eukaryota; Viridiplantae; Streptophyta; Magnoliopsida; Fabales; Fabaceae
Description: Pisum sativum (pea) long non-coding RNA (PSAT_LNC019997)
Source: RNAcentral
UUUGAUCCAAAGCAGGGUCAGUUGAUGAGGAUGAAGCUCGAGAGGGAGCCAUGAAAAUCGAAAGAAUUGAAAAACAAUGAUGAAAUGAGGUUGGGAAAAAGAUUCAGUUGGAUAGCAUCGGAAAGAGGAUCGGAUUGGCGAAUGAUACCAUAUUGUAAUUGAUCAAGCUUCAUCAAUGGUGAAGCAUAACCAUGCCAUGUUGCAGACUGUUAUGGAAAUGUUGCAGACUGUUAUGGAAAUAACAGAAGAAG